This 253-nucleotide ribosomal RNA is filed under the name uncultured bacterium. RNAcentral's name for it is "partial 16S ribosomal RNA". It matches the Rfam family "Bacterial small subunit ribosomal RNA", at positions 524 to 776 of the family's 1533-position model. The record is from RNAcentral.
UACGUAGGGGGCUAGCGUUGUCCGGAAUCACUGGGCGUAAAGCGCACGUAGGCGGCUUUCUAAGUCAGGGGUGAAAUCCUGGAGCUCAACUCCAGAACUGCCUUUGAUACUGGAGAGCUUGAGUCCGGGAGAGGUGAGUGGAACUCCGAGUGUAGAGGUGAAAUUCGUAGAUAUUCGGAAGAACACCAGUGGCGAAGGCGGCUCACUGGCCCGGUACUGACGCUGAUGUGCGAAAGCGUGGGGAGCAAACAGG